UCCCUGGUGGUCCAUUGGUUAGGACUCAGCACUGUUACUGCCAGGGCCCCAGGUUCGAUCCCUGGUAGGGGAA
Molecule: non-coding RNA, 73 nt
Organism: Bos taurus (domestic cattle)
Lineage: Eukaryota; Metazoa; Chordata; Mammalia; Artiodactyla; Bovidae
Source: Rfam